AACGAACGCUGGCGGCAUGCCUAACACAUGCAAGUCGAACGAAGUCUUCGGACUUAGUGGCGCACGGGUGCGUAACGCGUGGGAAUCUGCCCUUGGGUACGGAAUAACUCAGAGAAAUUUGUGCUAAUACCGUAUAAUGUCUUCGGACCAAAGAUUUAUCGCCCAAGGAUGAGCCCGCGUAAGAUUAGCUAGUUGGUGGGGUAAAAGCCUACCAAGGCGACGAUCUUUAGCUGGUCUGAGAGGAUGAUCAGCCACACUGGGACUGAGACACGGCCCAGACUCCGACGGAAGGCAGCAGUGGGGAAUAUUGGACAAUGGGCGAAAGCCUGAUCCAGCAAUGACGCGUGAGUGAUGAAGGCACUAGGGUUGUAAAGCUCUUUUAACAGGGAUGAUAAUGACAGUACCUGGAGAAUAAGCUCCGGCUAACUCCGUG
This 433-nucleotide ribosomal RNA is filed under the name uncultured bacterium. RNAcentral describes it as "partial 16S ribosomal RNA". It matches the Rfam family "Bacterial small subunit ribosomal RNA", at positions 29 to 507 of the family's 1533-position model. The record is from RNAcentral.